UACGGGGGGAGCAAGCGUUGUUCGGAUUUACUGGGCGUAAAGGGCGCGUAGGCGGUCGUGACAAGUCACUUGUGAAAUCUCCGGGCUUAACUCGGAACGGUCAAGUGAUACUGUCGGACUAGAGUACAGAAGGGGCAACUGGAAUUCUCGGUGUAGCGGUGAAAUGCGUAGAUAUCGAGAGGAACACCAGUGGCGAAAGCGGCUCACUGGACCACAACUGACGCUGAUGCGCGAAAGCUAGGGGAGCAAACAGG
RNAcentral lists this ribosomal RNA (254 nucleotides) under uncultured bacterium. RNAcentral describes it as "partial 16S ribosomal RNA". It matches the Rfam family "Bacterial small subunit ribosomal RNA", at positions 524 to 776 of the family's 1533-position model. The record is from RNAcentral.